Molecule: ribosomal RNA, 505 nt
Filed under: uncultured bacterium
Lineage: Bacteria
Description: partial 16S ribosomal RNA
Rfam family: Bacterial small subunit ribosomal RNA
Source: RNAcentral
AGUGAACGCUGGCGGUAGGCCUAACACAUGCAAGUCGAACGGCAGCACAGAGGAGCUUGCUCCUUGGGUGGCGAGUGGCGGACGGGUGAGGAAUACAUCGGAAUCUACUCUGUCGUGGGGGAUAACGUAGGGAAACUUACGCUAAUACCGCAUACGACCUACGGGGGAAAGCAGGGGAUCUUCGGACCUUGCGCGACUGAAUGAGCCGAUGUCGGAUUAGCUAGUUGGCGGGGUAAAGGCCAACCAAGGCGACGAUCCGUAGCUGGUCUGAGAGGAUGAUCAGCCACACUGGGACUGAGACACGGUCCAGACUCCUACGGGAGGCAGCAGUGGGAAUAUUGGACAAUGGGCGCAAGCCUGAUCCAGCCAUACCGCGUGGGUGAAGAAGGCCUUCGGGUUGUAAAGCCCUUUUGUUGGGAAAGAAAUCCAUCUGGUUAAUACCCGGGUGGGAUGACGGUACCCAAAGAAUAAGCACCGGCUAACUUCGUGCCAGCCGCCGCCGUAA